Lagopus leucura (white-tailed ptarmigan) is the source of this 347-nucleotide long non-coding RNA. RefSeq lists it as uncharacterized. The record is from RefSeq and is a predicted model, not a curated record. The transcript has 4 exons. Lineage: Eukaryota; Metazoa; Chordata; Aves; Galliformes; Phasianidae.
GAGAUCCCUCUUUUGUGGAAUCUUUCCUGCAAACCGAGAUCUUUGGAUACAGAAACUACAGGCAAGAAGACUCCAGUAAAGACAAGGCACAUAGUCAUGAAUAAAGGAAGACUUCAACAGUAACAGCAAAAUUAAAGUUAUGUGCCCUCAUGGUGGCUGCUUUCAGGCUGGUGUCCUCACUAAGAAAUCAGGUUUCUCUUGACUCUAAAGCUCCUGGGGACUUGCAUGAACACUUGGCUGUUUUGACUGCAGCAAUCACGAAUGGACAGAACUGGUGCAAAUACUGUAGCUUUGGAUGCUGAAUGUGGAAACUGAUGGAAACAAGGCUUUGCCAAGUGGUGAAACAU